GACGAACGCUGGCGGCGUGCCUAAUACAUGCAAGUUGAGCGCUGAAGGUUGGUACUUGUACCGACUGGAUGAGCAGCGAACGGGGGAGUAACGCGUGGGGAAUCUGCCUUUGAGCGGGGGACAACAUUUGGAAACGAAUGCUAAUACCGCAUAAAAACUUUAAACACAAGUUUUAAGUUUGAAAGAUGCAAUUGCAUCACUCAAAGAUGAUCCCGCGUUGUAUUAGCUAGUUGGUGAGGUAAAGGCUCACCAAGGCGAUGAUACAUAGCCGACCUGAGAGGGUGAUCGGCCACAUUGGGACUGAGACACGGCCCAAACUCCUACGGGAGGCAGCAGUAGGGAAUCUUCGGCAAUGGACGAAAGUCUGACCGAGCAACGCCGCGUGAGGGAAGAAGGUUUUCGGAUCGUAAAACUCUGUUGGUAGAGAAGAACGUUGGUGAGAGUGGAAAGCUCAUCAAGUGACGGUAACUACCCAGAAAGGGACGGCUAACUACGUG
This 497-nucleotide ribosomal RNA is filed under the name uncultured bacterium. Its description in RNAcentral is "partial 16S ribosomal RNA". It matches the Rfam family "Bacterial small subunit ribosomal RNA", at positions 28 to 507 of the family's 1533-position model. The record is from RNAcentral.